AUAAGAGGUCCCGCCUGCCCAGUGACUUUAAGUUUAACGGCCGCGGUAUUUUGACCGUGCAAAGGUAGCGCAAUCACUUGUCCUUUAAAUGAAGACCUGUAUGAAUGGCACCACGAGGGCUCAACUGUCUCCUUUCUCCUGUCAAUGAAAUUGAUCUCCCCGUGCAGAAGCGGGGAUAAAACCAUAAGACGAGAAGACCCUAUGGAGCUUUAGGCACCAGAACAGACUAUGUUAAGCACCCUAAACACAAAAGACAAAACUAACUAGACCCUAUUUCAAUGCCUUUGGUUGGGGCGACCGCGGGGAAAUAAAAAACCCCCAUGUGGACCAAGAGCACAUCACUCUUACAACCCAGGGCUACAACCCUAAGUAACAGAACUUUCUGACCAGAAUGAUCCGGUAAAACCGAUCAACGAACCGAGUUACCCUAGGGAUAACAGCGCAAUCCCCUUCUAGAGCCCAUAUCGACAAGGGGGUUUACGACCUCGAUGUUGGAUCAGGACAUCCUACUGGUGCAGCCGCUAUUAAGGGUUCGUUUGUUCAACGAUU
Molecule: ribosomal RNA, 549 nt
Filed under: Symphysodon aequifasciata (blue discus)
Lineage: Eukaryota; Metazoa; Chordata; Actinopteri; Cichliformes; Cichlidae
Description: partial 16S ribosomal RNA
Rfam family: Bacterial large subunit ribosomal RNA
Source: RNAcentral